GCCAGCGUGGCAUAGUGGUUUACAUAUUGGACUGUGACUCUGGAGACCAGGGUUCGAUUACCAGCUUGGCC
Molecule: non-coding RNA, 71 nt
Organism: Phrynosoma platyrhinos (Desert horned lizard)
Lineage: Eukaryota; Metazoa; Chordata; Lepidosauria; Squamata; Phrynosomatidae
Source: the annotation of a GenBank genome assembly